RNAcentral lists this ribosomal RNA (364 nucleotides) under uncultured eukaryote. RNAcentral describes it as "partial 18S ribosomal RNA". It matches the Rfam family "Eukaryotic small subunit ribosomal RNA", at positions 592 to 976 of the family's 1831-position model. The record is from RNAcentral.
CGAAAGCGUAUAUUAAAGUUGUUGCAGUUAAAAAGCUCGUAGUUGAACCUUGGGCUUGGCUGGCCGGUCCAUCUUUUUUGAUGCGUACUGGACCCAGCCGAGCCUUUCCGUCUGGCUAGCCUUUUGGCGAACCAGGACUUUUACUUUGAAAAAAUUAGAGUGUUCAAAGCAGGCCUUUGCUCGAAUAUAUUAGCAUGGAAUAAUAGAAUAGGACGUUAUGGUUCUAUUUUGUUGGUUUCUAGGACCAUCGUAAUGAUUAAUAGGGACGGUCGGGGGUAUCAGUAUUCAGUUGUCAGAGGUGAAAUUCUUGGAUUUACUGAAGACUAACUACUGCGAAAGCAUUUACCAAGGACGUUUUCAUUAA